UACGUAGGGUGCAAGCGUUGUCCGGAAUUAUUGGGCGUAAAGAGCUCGUAGGCGGUUUGUCGCGUCUGCUGUGAAAACGCGAGGCUCAACCUCGCGCCUGCAGUGGGUACGGGCAGACUGGAGUGCGGUAGGGGAGAUUGGAAUUCCUGGUGUAGCGGUGGAAUGCGCAGAUAUCAGGAGGAACACCGAUGGCGAAGGCAGAUCUCUGGGCCAUUACUGACGCUGAGGAGCGAAAGCAUGGGUAGCGAACAGG
RNAcentral lists this ribosomal RNA (253 nucleotides) under uncultured bacterium. Its description in RNAcentral is "partial 16S ribosomal RNA". It matches the Rfam family "Bacterial small subunit ribosomal RNA", at positions 524 to 776 of the family's 1533-position model. The record is from RNAcentral.